RNAcentral lists this ribosomal RNA (270 nucleotides) under uncultured archaeon. RNAcentral describes it as "partial 16S ribosomal RNA". It matches the Rfam family "Archaeal small subunit ribosomal RNA", at positions 477 to 747 of the family's 1478-position model. The record is from RNAcentral.
CAGCACCUCAAGUGGUCAGGAUGAUUAUUGGGCCUAAAGCAUCCGUAGCCGGCGCUGUAAGUUUUCGGUUAAAUCUGUACGCUCAACGUACAGGCUGCCGGGAAUACUGCAGCGCUAGGGAGUGGGAGAGGUAGACGGUACUCGGUAGGAAGGGGUAAAAUCCUUUGAUCUAUUGAUGACCACCUGUGGCGAAGGCGGUCUACCAGAACACGUCCUACGGUGAGGGAUGAAAGCUGGGGGAGCAAACCGGAUUAGAUACCCGCGUAGUCC